Onychostoma macrolepis is the source of this 758-nucleotide long non-coding RNA. RefSeq lists it as uncharacterized. The transcript is spliced from 4 exons. Lineage: Eukaryota; Metazoa; Chordata; Actinopteri; Cypriniformes; Cyprinidae. The record is from RefSeq and is a predicted model, not a curated record.
AAUAGAUAUAAAUGUAACUUUAACUAUUUGACACCUCACGUGCAAAGCCCGCGAAAGAACCGGAGGUUAUAUAAGCUGCGGUCGUCACGUGACGCGCACAGCCGGACUCUGAUGGACGUCGCCUGACGGGAGAGCUUUCAUGAGGUAAAGUAUUUUUUGUGUACACAAGUAUAAAAUCGACGGCCUGUCAUUUAAAUGUACCAUAAGCCUACUGUUCACUGUUCAAACGAGCCGUUCCGUCUUUAUUUUGUACGGCCCGCUCUUCAGCUCCGUUAAUUACCGUUAAUGCCGUUCUGUGUGACGUCAUUUGCGCAGAUCUGCUAGAAUUGAGAAAACCUCCUUUCGUUUCACAUUCAUGUCGGUCAAGAUUGUCAUCCGAUUGUUGUAAGUGAUCAGUCAAGCAGUCAUCCUGCAUCUUGGAUUUGCCAUGUUCAGUUUGUACAAACAUUAUCUGAUAUUGAGUGAGGCUUUUUCUUUUGCUCCCCUUUGUUUGUGUGUCAGUAGCUGCUGCACCCCAAAGCCUCCACAGCACAGCACAGCACAGCUCAGGCUUUAGCUUUUGUGCUGGAUGGAGAAACUGAGAAGUUUAUAAACAGAAGGCAUGGAAGAAGAGAGCAGGUCCUAAAACAAAGAAAUUCUUCUUAAGGAUAAACCUGAGGUCCUGGGAGUUCUUAGAGUUCUAAAGUGUUUUUUAUGCAUUUGUUGAUGUCAAAUUUUCAAUAAUAAAUUAAAAUAAAUUCUCAUAGUUUUUACAUUUA